CUCCUUAAAUCANUUAUCGUUUAUUUGAUAGUACCUUACUACAUGGAUAACCGUGGUAAUUCUAGAGCUAAUACAUGCUAAAAAUCCCGACUUCGGAAGGGAUGUAUUUAUUAGAUUAAAAACCAAUGCCCUUCGGGGCUCUCUGGUGAUUCAUAAUAACUUCUCGAAUCGCACGGCCUUGCGCCGGCGAUGGUUCAUUCAAAUUUCUGCCCUAUCAACUUUC
This 223-nucleotide ribosomal RNA is filed under the name uncultured Chaetomium. Its description in RNAcentral is "partial 18S ribosomal RNA". It matches the Rfam family "Eukaryotic small subunit ribosomal RNA", at positions 97 to 323 of the family's 1831-position model. Lineage: Eukaryota; Fungi; Ascomycota; Sordariomycetes; Sordariales; Chaetomiaceae. The record is from RNAcentral.